GUGCGAUGCAGCAGGACCGAGCCAACAAGCUAGUUGAUCAUUCGCUGAAUCUACCUCCUUGCUGAGGAAAGGAAACUCUGCCACACAGUGGGAUACAUUAUCUUUUGACCCUCGUGGUUACUGCUUCAGGGGAAAUGAAGACCUUUGCUCCUCAUGCAUGGGCUGAAGACUUGACUUCAUCUUAUAGUCGCUGCACGCUAAGGACAACCGAGAUGUGAUUCACCAUGUUUUCAGUGGGACUUAGAAAACGCCCUUCCAGCGUGUGCCAGAAUGUUCCGCAGCACCCAUGUGCAUGAGCGCACCAAGAGAUACCUCAGCCUCUGUAAGAGGUAAGGCCCUGUGUGCCUUGCUUGCUCGGUGCUGGGCUGAUUUACAGCUGCAAAGGCAGUCUCUUCAGCAGAAAAGAGAAGGACGUCAAUCCCCGGAAAGUAAGCUGUAAGUGAAAAUUGAAACUGUCAGGCCGCGUUUGUUGCUCACUCUGUCUCUUGCUCCGCCCCCUCCCCUCCGGCCUUAAUUUUAAUUAAAAGGGGGCAGCUUUUUGUCUGUGGAUGUAUAUGUUGAAUAAAUCACUAGUGAUCUUGAAAAGCUCUCCUCCCUUUUAUACUGUAACUGCGUUUUCACACACUGCAGGGGUCGGUCCGUCAGUCGGUAGUCGGUUGGUAUUUCUUCUUUCCCAUGGAUUUGGCUUUUCACUCACUCCUUCUUUCAAGCCAGAAAUCUGUCACCCAAUCAGCCAAGUUCUGUGUGGUACCAAGGCAAUGGGCUAGGAAAGUUCAGCACUAGGAUGGCCGUUAGAGCUGAUGAAAUAUGGGAGUGUGGAGCAAUGUUCCUUCACCUGCUUGGCAGGAGCAUUUCCCAGAAGGCCACCUGGAUUUUAAUGGAGUUGGAAGGGAUCUUGGAUAUGACACACUUCCUGUUCUAUGCAGAAUCUACAAGGCAAGCUGCACUUGCAGUGUCCCUAAGAGGAGGCCAUCCAACUUCUGUGUAGACAUUCUCCCACCUAGGUGUUGUCUCCUCCUAGGAUAAGGGAUUCCCAAAGCUACUUCCAUCAAAUCAUGGGAACUGUAGACCACACAGUUCAAUACCCUGUUUGAUGCCUGAAAACUACAACUGUCCCAUCUUUAACAGAUGGAUGGACCAUUGAUUCAAUCCCCAGCCUGCUCUAUCAUCAAUAUCCUUCUCCCAUUGUUCAAUUAAUGUCUAUCCUCCUGUGACUGAAGCCCAUGAGAUCUUGUGCUGCCAUUUGGGACAGCAGAGAGCAAAACCACCCCAUCUUCUGUUUAACAUAGAAACAUAGAGUGAGUCAGAAGGGGUCUCCCGGGCCAUCUAGUCUGACCCCCAGCUCCAGCUGGCUCUGCUCAUGACUCACCUACCAUGUGCAUGUCCAUCCUAUCCCUGAACAACCUCACCAACUGGACUUCAACCACCUCCCAACAUCAACUGGGGCACCUGAAGAGCAUUAGCACAUCUAGCGGUGGGUGAACUUAGCCGGACUGAAUUCAUUAUUUCUUCACAAAGUAACGCAUCCACCCAUGUGAGCUGAGCUGAGAGUUCUCCUUUAAUGCAAGAGCUCAUGGACUCAUGAAGGUAUAUGAAUUCAUGUCCACACGCAAUAGCCAAGUGCAUCUUGGGAAGUAGUAUAUGGAAUCACCUAGUAUGGCAUGGCUUCAUGCAGAAUGUGAUGCUGUGCCGUUCAUUGGUUGUCUUUGUGUGGAAUGUGAAAUUUACUCAGUGAUUUUAAUACAGAGAGGAGAAAAGAAAGAAGGUCUGUAGGGUCCUCCUCCUCCUCUCCUCGUUGAGCAGGAACUGCAGAGCUGAUGGCGAUGGAGGGAGAUGUGGUAGACAAACCAGCCAGAUCGGCACAACCUCAGGGCUGCCAUGGUUCGAAUGAACCCCAGAAUCCCAGAAGAGUUGGAAGGGGCCUAUAAAUCCAGCAAGAGUCCCACAGUUGAAGCUCUAAGGACCAGAGAUGUUUCUUCAUGAGCAGACCCUGUUGUCCAUCUGCCUUUCUUUCUGGACCAGGUUAUGGAGGUGGUAAGAAAACUGGCUCACUGCCCAUCAAGACAGCAAGGGGGUGCAAAGGAGAGAAGGUGGCCCAAGAGCAGCUCCUUGUAGGAGUGGGAGAACCAGGGAUGCUUAAAACGUUUAAAUAGUAAGCUGCUUGGGGCACAGACCUGCAGUGUUGUACCCUGUAAAGUGCUAGGCACACUGAAAGCUGUAUAAGAACAACUCUUCACCACAACUGGUCGGGAUUCAGAUGUCUUGCAAAACACAGCUGCAUCAUUAGUCCGCCGACCUCUUUGAUGUUUCAGCUCUACCUGUGUGCUUGGAUGCGUAGGAUAGCCUUCAUCUCCAUCUUCAUCUGGUUCCCUGGAAGCAAAUCCAACAUUUGACCAAAACAGUUGGGGUUAACAGAUUGACUAUGCCAGCAUCCACGCUCCAAAUCCCAGACUAGGUCCUGCCAAUUUUCUAUGCAAAUGAUCAAUCUAGGGCAAUUAGAGAAAAGGGCAUGUGGUACCUAAUUAAGCUCCAAGAAUGAUGAUCUUCAUUGAGGUUGGAUGUGAAUGACAUAAAUGUAGAUAAAUUCUAUGAAAUUAGAUGGAAGGUCUUUGGUUCAAGAAGAUGUAGUUGGCAGAGAAUCCAUUCCUCAUUUAGAACCCUCAGACCAAAAAAGUUUGAAAAUGGGAAGAGUAAAAUAUUGUAUAUAAAAUAUCACAAAACCUGUUUUAUGAUAUUCUAUAUUCUUGGUGUUUACAGUUGCUGUUUUGCUCCCUCCCUCCCUCCCUCCCUCCCUUCCAAUUGAUUGGUCAUUAAGUUUAAUCCAGAAUAGUUUAACUGAAGAGAAGCCCCUUCCCAGACUUGCAAUAGAAAUCAAACCGUCUUUCCAGAGUUACACAGAGAGGCUUUUCCUGCAACAGGAGGCAUGCAAACAAAUUCUGUACAGGAUGGCUUGCAAUGGGCAAACAAUUCAAUUUUGAAUUGGAGAUGGAUCUAGAGAUCUAUGAGAAUGCCAUUUCUGUUUGGAAAUCAUAUAAACAUCUCCCAUUCUCAACCCCAAACCAAGCAAGAACAUGAUUCUCUGGAAAGGUUCACCAUUUCAUGAACUCAGAUUCACUUUUAAGAGUGCAUAAAUUCCCCCCCCCAGUCCAAAAUCAACCAGGUGGGUUCUAGUCUGAGCUAUAAAGAUGGUACCCAUAUAAUGAAUCCCAUCUCCCUGCUGCCCAGAUCAGUUCAGCACCACAGACAGCUCCUGAAAUAGUUCAGACUGCGACCUGGAAUGGAUCCACUGGUCCACCGACCUGGGAGUUAGAAACAUAGAAACAUAGAAAACAGAGCAAGUCAGAAGGGGCCUCCCGGGCCAUCUAGUCUGACCUCCGGCACCAGCCGGCUCCACUCACGACAUGCCCACCAUGUGGAGUUACUCUUCUCCACUCAUUCUUACCAUUCUGGUUUGCUGAACCUGCCCUUGUCAUGAAGUCCAUCACAACUACAUGGCUUCUGUGGAUCUGGUCCAUACAAAGUUCUCCCAGAGCUGCCAGAAAAUAAAGGGAGGAGGCAGAGAAGGAAGACCUGAUUCCACCCCUUUGCAAAAUGCUCCUCGUUCAAUUUCCAGACUGUAAGCAUUUUACGAUGGUUUGGCCUCCUCUAGGUUAGGAUGGCUGGAUCCACACAUCAGGGUUAGCCAUUGACGACUAAUGACUAGAAAUGAAUGAGGCAAUAAGGGCAGCCCAACUCUGUAAAAGAGAAAGCUGAAAAAGACACCUUUUCAAAAAUAUUGCGAGUCUUCUGCAGCCUCAGAGCACAGUGCCACUCAGCAGCCAUUUGCAUUUCUUUCCAUUAAGUCUCCACACAGGGUCUUAUUAAAGGUUUAUUUUUACCUCGGCACAGAGAGGUUACCAGCAGACUUGCUCUUGUCUUGACGGCUUUGGCAUUUUGCUGGGCCGGCUCACGUGUGCAGGACUUCGUAUUUGGCCAAAAAUAAAACCUCCAGGAGGAGAGCAGGUCUGGUAAGUCACAGUGCCAGCCAAUUCUCUACACAGGGAGCUUGUGAAAGAGUGCAGCUCAGCCAUUGCUCCUCAUCUCCUGAAAUGAUUGAUGCUGUUCCUAAACAUGGAUGUCUCUUUGCCCUCCACUCUGUGAGGAGGAGGAGAGAUGGGUUCCUUCAUACUGGGGAUUUCUUUCUUGCUUACUGGGGAUUUCAUUAGGCUGCCUCAGCAUGGCAUUAUCAUUGUCAUGUCUGACAAAACUCACAUACCACACUAUGAGUUUCCUGAAGUAAGUUGUGUGCAUCCCUUGGAGGUAUUGGAAACUAUAAUGAGUGAUUUGGUUACUUACCAAAUCACAAUUUUAAGGUGGAAAUCCUGUACCAACUUCCCCCGGAGAAGGCUGCAUAUACUCAGUGGGGCCAGAUGGUGUGUUUGAGUUCUGCCUGCUGCUUUAAAAUAAACAAGUAAGUAUUAUUUGAUUGCACAUUUGUUGCUGUCAGUGUUUGUGAUAACAUUUUGUCUCCACCUCCCCCAUCUUUGGUGAACCAUCAGUGGAAAACAGUCUUGGAUGGAGAACAAAGAUGCUGAAGGGGUCUCAUUGGCGGAAACUUCCUGGCAGUCAGAUUGUUCAGCAGGGAAGCUGGCUACCUUGGGCAAUCGUAGAGUAGUCGGGUUGGAAGGGGCCAAGAAGGCCAUCGAAUCCAACCUCCUGCUGGUACAGGAUGGUAGGUGCACCAUCCCGCUUAGAUAACCAUCUCGCUGCUUCUUGAAUGUCUCUAGCAUGGAAGAGAUGAUGGACUCUUCUUCUUUGGAGGGAGUUAAGUGGAGGCUGGACAGAAAUGCAUUGCAGAUUCUACCACCACUGCGGGGAUGGACUGAAGGAGCUGCAAUUCUAAAAUGGAUGGCUACUUUAAAGAGGUAUGGAAAGUGCUGCUACACCACACAGUUAGAAGAAAGGUUGUUGUCAUUGCUGCUGCUGUUACGUGCUGCCCAAUCGCCUUUGAUUGUUGGCAACCCUAUAAAUGAACGUUCUCCAAGAUGUCAUCGCCUUCUCAGCUCUUGUACACUCAAGGCUGUGCCUUCCUUUGGGAAACCAAGCCAUCUCAUAGUUGCAUGUCAUCUUCCAGCUUCAACUUUCUCUCGCAUGAUUUCUCUCCAGGGAGUCUGGCCUUCUCAUGAUGUGCCCCAAGAAGGGCAGAUUAAGUUUCACCGGUUUUGCUUCCAGGGCAAGGUCUGAGUUGAUUUGAGCCAGGAGCCACUUGUGGAUCUUUCUGUUGGUCCAGCAUAUGAGUAAAGCUUUUCCCCAGUGCCAUUUCCUCAGAAUGCCAAAACUGUAACCCAGCCCCCACACCGCUCCCCCUUUCCCUGCCAAGGAAGUCUCUCUAAACUAAGAAGAAGCCAACUUUUCCAUUGCUGCCCUUCUGAACCUUCCAAGGUUCAUAGCCCAUAAAUAAAGCUUUUUGUAACUGAGAGUCUCAGCACGAGCCACAGUCACCAGGGCACAAAGCAGUGUCUAAUUUUUCAGCUUCCUGUACUGGGAUUCAAUUGUUUUCCACGGCCUUUUGUGCUCUUAGUUUAUGAAAAAUCAAUAGUUUAAUAUAGAAAAAGAAUCCCUCGGCUAUCUAUUUAGAGCUGUAUUGCCUCCAGCAAUAGCGUUGUGGUUGUUUCAGUCAGUGCAUUUAGAGAUACUGAGACAGACAGGCCAGCCUGAGGAUGUGAGGAGGAAAGAGGGUGUGAAAGACCUUGCUUCACGUCUCAGGCCGGCCACUGUUUGACAGGCCAACAGAGGGAGUCCUAGGCGCUCCUCCAGGGCCACCACCGCCACCAGGUCCUCACCUGGCCUCAAUCAGACCUGAGCCAGCAUGGCCACUUUCUAGGACAGCCGCGAUCUGAGAUCAGUCUUCAGACGAGCAAUGGAACCCCCAGUACAUUAGGAUAUCCAAUGUCAGUCUCCUUGUAAUAACCAGAAGCGGGACCCAGCGUUAAGAGUCAAGCAGCCUUGUGCAGAAGCUCAGUUUUCCUGAGCCUUUUAUCCUCCACUGAAAGUGCCUUUUGAUUUUCCGCAACUGUUGCAAGAUUCCUACAAAUGCGGCCACACUAUUGGGUGUGUGAGGUAUUUACAAUUUAAUGAAGCAGCUGAGUAAUGUAUGAGAAUGUCGCUUUGCCUUGCAAAUUGCUUUAAAAUACCCCAUUUAUUUAUUUAUUUAAAACAUUUUUAUGCCGCCCCCAUCGCAAUGAAGCCUUGGGGCAGCUCACAACAGAAACAAAAUACAUAAAUAAUAACAAUAUAACAAUUUAAAAGAUUGCAAUGUCGAACAAGAACACCAAUAGGACUUUGUUUUCUGGGGACAAGUUCCUAAUUCAUGAACUCGCCUUUGUGUUCACAAAGCGUGCAGAAAGCUCCAGCUUCCUCCGAGGAUUAUCCUUUCCAUGGCCUGUGCUUUAGUUCCAGAGAGAGAUUUGGAGAAUUUUGGAAAUUUGUACAAAUCGCGGGUCUUUUUGCAGAACUCUGCAAAGUGCUCAUUUUGCUCAACUUUCCCAUUAGUGCAAAAUGCACGGAGAGCACAAAUGCAUCCUAGAACCAGAACAGACAAGAAGCAAGCUCAUUUUGGAGUGCCAUGCUGAGUCUGAGCAACCCUAACUGAAUAUAGAAAAAUAGAAACAGAGCGAGUCAGAAGGGGCCUCCCGGUCCACAGUUGGGAUGAAGCUACUCGGGAACCAGAGGCCAUAGACGCUGCAGUAUGAAGAGCAGGAAGAGCCACUCAGAGCCAUCUUCUGUGAAGUGUCUUUCUGCUCCAUGUGCCGUGGUGCUAAUAGCAAGCAUGCAUGGUGGCAAAGCCGCCCCUUGGGUUGCCUCCAAGAUCCACUCUAGGAAGUUCCUUCAGUCCAGUUGUAGCAAUUCAUCCUCCUGUGAAACCCAUCUAUCUGAACUCCUUUUGCAACCAUGGAAAAUGUUUGGGGAACACAUCAGUGAAGUUGAUCCAGCGUAAAUAUAGACCCAAGCUCCAGUAUUUAUUCCUUUAAAACCCCAGACUUAGUUGCUCACCAAGCAGAGAAAGUUAACCUCUAAUCUGGUCCUUUCUGAUGCUCAAAGCAAUAGUGGCUAAAACAUAGGCCCAUUUCCAAGUUCCAGCUUUAAAGGAGGUACCGUCUGCUCAGAUCUCUCCCCCUCAAAGGAGAGUUGGCAGAUCUGGAAAUGUUAUCGACGGAGACAUUUGUAUUCCACAAGUAAAGAAAUAGAAUUCUGUGCCCAGGGCUAAGAUUAGCUGCUUACUUUAAAAAACCAGACGAGAAAGAGAGAGUGUAGGGUGAUUUUUCACUGUGAACUUCAGCAGAUGUACAGGAACUAGCUAACUUUUGUUUCAUGGAGGGCUGCCCAUGUUUACCGUGGCAUCCCGAGAAGCAGAAAUUGAUCAGGUGAAGCUUUUCCUGGCACAGAUGCUGUGAAAGGGCACUUCAUAGCCUCUGUUGGAUGGCGUUAUGUAUUUAGUGGCUAAAAAUAUUUUAUGCUGGCCUUCAUUUUACGGUACAUGCUUGGUUUACAAAAGUGUUUUAAUCCUAAAAUGGCAGAUAAUCAAAACAAAUAAAACAAACAAAUAAAUGAUCUGCCCCAGCAACUAAAAGCAAAGGGAGUCUGUUUUUAAAAAGUAAACCAGCCCUAGUUCUCACUUCCUAGGCUAAUAAGAACCCAGUGUUGCUUCUUAUUAGUGGUUAGAGGGCUAGAAGGGGACUCAGGAGAUCCGGGUUCUAGUCCCCACUCAGCUUUGAAGCUCCCUGGGUGAGUCAGUCACUCUCUCUCAGCCUGACCCACCUCGCAGGGUUGUUGUGAAGAUAAGAUGAUGAAGAAGCGGCCCAUGUAAGCCAAUCUGCUUCCUUGCAAGCAGAAAAUAUUGGGAUAUUAAUAGAAUGCAAUGAUGAUAAUAAGCAGGAUUCUCGGUGGUGUGAUGCUCUGAAACAUGAACAGAGAGCAUUUGUCCAUUCUUGGCUUCAUUUCUGUUGCUUUCCUAGUAUACUAAAAAAUGAUAUUUAAAUACUGGGUAUUCAACUGCUGCAGCUUCUGGUGGCCUCUUUUGCCAUUCUUUGGAUAUCCUGAACACUAUUUUACCCUGCCAAUAAGGUAUCAGUAGUUCCCAACAUGACUUUGGAUGUGUUAGGAUGUUAUAUUUUUCAUGUGGGUUUCUUUUUAAUGGUUCCUAGUUUAGUUUCUUUAAUCCUUUGGGUGAGACAGCAUGGACGGGUAUAACCCUUUUGGCACAACCCCAAAAGACGACCUACUGAAAAGGCGGAAGAGUCAGACUUGGUGUGAUAGAAAUUCCUGCUUCCAAAAUGCUGGCAUGGCCCAAGAGUUGAGUCCGGAACGACACCGAAAUGGCUGGGUGGUCACCGUCAUUUUCAAUCAGUGUGACGUCUACAUGGAAACCACAGGUUCACCGAUGAGAUGACGCAUCCACCUUCCAUAUUGGUCCUGGCAGCCUCUCGCAGCUGCAUCCGAUGCAAGCAGAACCCGUUUCUCCGCCAUCCCGACUCGAGCGCAGCUUGUGCAAACGGGCCGCCGAAGCUCCGCGGAAUGCAUCCAUAUCUGGAAAAGUCCGAGUUUUCAACUGCACACUGAUUUCCAAAUUGGAGGGCUAGAUUAGGUAAAUUCAUUAAAAAAAACAGAAACUUGAUGGAGCACAUGUCUCACCCACUCCUUGCUAGCAAUGCUUCUUUGAAGGCAAGAAGCUGUUUCACUUCCCUUCAAGCCCUUUCUGUAUCUCUGAUGGACAGAAUGAAAGACACCAGAGACCAACAUUGUGACUGCAAAGUGAAGAUAAAGAUAUUGCAACAAGGCAAGGACUAUCUUCAGUGCACGAACAGCCCAAAAGUCAAUCAAAGAGUGAUUAAUCCAUUGCACUAUUAACUUAACUCCCCUGGCCUGCCAGAUCCUUUCAGCCAACAGGAAAAGAAGCAGCCAAAGCAAAGCAAGAAAUCUUAACCUUUCAACUACCACAGUAAUCCUCAUAGCAAGCUCAGUCAAUUUAGGUCACUGGAAGAGAACUGGCUGAAAGAGGAUUUUGUAAAGCAAGGACUGAGUUACUGGAAUGCAGAAGCUCAAGAUCCUUUUCAUGCUAGCAUUCCUUUCUAUUUGGCAGAGGGUUGGUGGAAGUGUGAGUAUUUUGAGAGCAAAAAAUAGGGUAUUUAAAAAGUAUUCCCAUCCCAGGGACUCCCACCCCAUCGCCAAAAAAUCAAGACUUUCUCAUUUUCUCUGACUAGCCUUUUCUGAAGAUGUUUAGCCUUUCCAACCUGUGCCCCGGAUGAGUUGUGUUAAAAUUUGUACCAUCCCCAGAAGCAUGGCUGUGUGUCGUCCAAAACAUCUGGGGGGUGCAAGGUUGGGGAAGGUUGCUGUGCAUGCAAAACGUGUCUGGUUAUCCAGGAAUUAAGAGCCAGACUUUUAUGAGCAAGAUGCUCAAGGCAAAAGAUGCAAGGAUUUGUUAAAUCCAUUCCUUCUGGGUUUUGCAGAUUUGCAGGUGUUGUCUUCAGUUGUCUGCUCAUUGACUGUGUUGGAUUUUUCUCACUUUCCCGAAGUUGUAUUCACUUCAGAAGGUGUGCACUUGUGGAAGUGUUUACUUCUAAGGUGAGCUAAGCACCCCCUUGCAUAUUUUCAUUCCUAAACCUAUGGGAGAAAUGGGGGCUUUUAGUUGCUCUUUUUAUUUUAUUUUUUAUUAAUUUGUCUGAUGAAAUUUGCAUUAAUUCCAGAAAGCUGAAGUCUAAAACCCUGUGUGACUUGGGAAAAGCCAACCUGGUGUGGAAUCUUGGGGUUGCGCAUCCAGAGAUCUCACUCUGGGUUUCUCUGCUGUCCCCUUGCCAGGUUGGGGUGGGCGAAGGCCAAAUUCAGUCGCAAAGCAUAUCUUUGACUCUUAUUCCAGCGGCGGUUGCAGGCAAAGAGCCCAGAAUGUAGAACAUCUCAUCACUUCUUCCAUUGAUUAAGUCUUGCAAGUCACCACGUAGCCCAGUAAGAUGGACUGCGGGGGACAACCGAUCCCAAAAGCCAGGAAAACGCCAGGGAUGGGGCAAGGAGAAAGGGAUGUGGCCAGCUGCAGAGCUUGUGUCAUUAUGGAGCACCACCAUCUUCCGGGCCCUCUGCAAGGCAUGGCUUAACACAAACAGCUGAUUGUGAUGUGGAUCUCUCAGCUUCACACAGAAUUCUGGUGCAGUGGCCACUUGUACACUCCCGUGUUUGGAUGCUCAGGAAAGAGGGAAACCGGUUCCAGGAGGAAACCAGCUGACACUCUAAAUAUGAGUAAUUUCAUCUUCGUUCUUGGACAGUCCUAGUGCCCACAGGAGCACUAGCAACAAACGAAAGCUUCCAGUGCUAGAUUGUUGGGUGGGUUUUUUUUUUUAGUUUUUAGUUUUGCCUCUUAAAACAAGGAAAUAGUUUGAGGCCAUGUUUUAAUUAAAAUGAAUAUCUGUGCUAUCGUAAUGUUAUUGCCAGUUAAGUGUAGUGAGGUGAUUUAGCGUUCUAUAACACAAUUAUGUGCCAGUAAUGAAGCUCCGUAGAAUUAUCCUCGGAAUUUAGCAUGCAGAAGGGAGCCGUAGCUCUCAUUUGUAUCCAUGUUACAGGCUUUUAUUGUUGCAGUAUUUUCUAUUUCCCUCCAAGAUUAACUCAAUCGUAUUUAAGUCUCUAGUUACAUUACAGAGAAAUCCAGUAAGGAGGACUGCUGGAAAUGUUUUCCUCUCUUGCAAAGCUUUGAAAUGUUAUUUGCUAAAUAGGGAAGUGAGAUUCCACCUCUGCUGCAGCUAAUGACACCGUUAAUACAGAGAACCCAUCCUGAAGAAUAAAAGGAUAAGUGAAAAUACAAACAUCCCCCACCCUUUUUGGCAGUUCAGGGUUAAGGGAAGCUGAAAAUUUAGGACGCUGGGUUCUUCCUUAGAACAAUCGCCUUUUUUUCUUUCUUUUUUUGUUUUUGACUGCCACAUAGUGGGCAGGAAGCAUCACCCUCACUCUGUUUUGGCUUCAAAUGUUAUCACAUAGCAAAAUUGCAUUUGCUGCUACCUCAUCUUGAAGCCAGUUUGGAGUGAGAGCAAAGCCUCCUGCUCUUACACGGGCCUUUUGUGAGUAAAUAAUAAAAUAAUAUAAAUAAGAAUAUAGCACUUGAUAACAGUACAACUGCCUCUGCUUCAGGGAACAUAAGUAGCCAGCAAGUGCCCAGUGAAACAUUUCAAUCAUGAAAUCUUUUCCCCACACAUCCAAUGCUCCUAGCAAAAAAGUUUUACCAGGAAUGUUCAACUCAGCUCCAGAGCACACCGAAAAAAUAUAUUGGUGCGUUAGGGAGAAAGGGAUCAGACAUUCCUUGGGUCUGAAGUACAAAGAGACAUACCUGUCUUGCUGAUGCUAUUUUCGUUGUCAAGGCCUGUGCACCAAGUCCAGGAAUGCCAGGAAUUCCUUCUUUGCAUGAAGUAUGAAACUUGUGCGACUCUUUCUGCAAAGGACACAAGGCCCGGAAGUCAUGAGUGUAGAAGCAGAGCUUCACUUGCGCAAUGCGUGUGUGCAUAGCAGGUAGCACAAGCUGACCCCACUGGCUCUCUUGGACUCACUUUGCCCGUACAAACACACAGUGUGCAGGAACUUGGAGCGGAGAAAAUGUGGGUCAAACUCCAAGGAGCUGAGCUGAGAAAAUCCGACAGGCUCCCACCCCGAGACUGGAUUCCUUACACAUCAGCAGCACGCGGUUCCUCUGCUGAUCUUGCAGAGAUCACCACGAAGCAGCCAAACAGGGACUUGGCUCUGCAUUUGACUGGCAGAACUGAACCAUGCAGUCUCCUCAUUGCACCUGUUCUGUUUUCUGGGGUGAUGUCUGAAACUCUGAAGACCCAUAACUGAUCAGUACUGUUGGAUAACUUGAGCAAGUGGACUCAGAGGUAGGAAUGGAGAAAUUUGUUGAUCACCCCAUAAACAUUUUUGGCAAAGUUGAAGCUGUCCAUUUCUUCCUAGUGAUCAAAGAUGGGCCUUGCCCUUCCGUCUACAUUCAUUCUUGAUGGAACAGCCCAAGGAGAAGUUGACUUGAAGGGUUAACUUUUACUUCCUGCUUCAAUUUCUGCACUGCACAUCAUGAACUUCAUAGUCAUUUCCACAUUCAGUUUCUUCUUUGUGUCUUUUUUUUUAAACAGAAGUGCAGAGGAAAACCUAUUUGCUUCUGGCAGAGUUCCUAUGUAGGUGGAAUUGUCACAUAUUAAAUUUGCUUUCAGUCAAUGGGGGAAAAUAACCUCAUAAAAAGAAUGAAAAGCAUCUUUAGAAAAAAAAACCUCCAAGUUCGAACAAUUCUUCCUUAAUAAUAAAGCUUUAGCAUUGCAAAACAGGUUGACUUCUGUCUUGAAUGAAAAGGAAGAGAAAGCAGGGCUAAGUUCUUAAGGAAAAAACUUAUUGGCUUCUUGAGGAAACUUUAAGGAGUGGGAUAAAAGGGGGAGAAGACCACAGCAAAAAAAAUCUAUGAAGUAGUAAGACAGGACGAGCCUUUCAACCAUUCUUUCAUGUGAGUUUGCUCUCCCUGAACAUAAAGAUUCAGUUUAAAUGCUUCUGUCUCCAUGAAUUACGCCUAAUACUCAUUUAGUCCUAUUUAAGCCACUGGCCAUGAAUGCAUCUUGUGGCUUUGAAAUCUAUAACUAAAUUCUGAACUGAGUAAACGGAUACUUUUUGUCUGUCCUAAAGUACUGCCCAUCAGUUUCAUUGGGAGAGUCAACUUCUAUUCAGGUGCUCUGGAGCUGAGCUAGCCGUACUUUGUAAAGACUCAUUUCCACCACCUUCUACAUGUGGACGGUGACCUUAUGAAUGAGAGAGUUUCCUAUAUCCCAGGAGGGCCUCUUCAUGAUGUUAGAUACUGAUAUUUCACUGCUCCAUGAGUGUCGUUGUAAAGCCUCUUUCCACGGAGUGGCGGAAAUGUGUGAAGAGAAGAAAGGGUACUAUUUUGCCUCUACUCACACAUCUAACCUGCAGAGUUUCUGGAUGCCUGAUUGCAACCUCCGAGUUCUAGUGAAGUGGCCAUGAUGGGAAUAUACUGCUACACUUUUCUCCCACACAAAGUAAAAUUUUAUGAGCAUCUUCCACAAGGACCUCCCUCUGACAGAGGACUCCAGUGCCCAUCAGCCCAGCCAACAUGGACAGGGAAAAUGGAAAUGUCAUCCCAACAACCUGGAGUUUCCCUACUCCUGCUCAAUUCUGUUCUACACAAGUUGCCUUCGACAGUGACCGCUAAACGAAAGCCGUUCAGUGCAGAGACGCACAGCCAUCAAACCUGCUUCGGCAUCUCAGCAGAACAGGAGCUGUUGGGGUUGCAUUUUUAUUCCUUUUGUAUAAACAAGGAGGAAGAUAAGCUAUGACAGUGUUAUGAUGCCUUGAAGCUUGCAGGCAAAGAGUUUUCAUUUUUUUUAAUUUCUCCCAUUUAGCUUAAUUUAAAUUUUACUUAGAGGUAAUUGGAAUGAAUUAAUAGACUGACAAUUACACCAAAAAUAUAUCCAUUAAAUGUGUAGAAAAUCUAGUAAUAUGGGAGCAAUUUCAUGGACAGAUAACAAAAUAAACUGAAUACUACUAGCACCACCACAACUACUAAUAAUAGCAAUACUAAUGAUAAUAAUAAAUCUAUUAAUGAAUGUAAGCUGCUAUUUAUGAGAGAUUAUUCCAGAGGAAGAUAACCUCCUUUUAUUUUAUUGAUGAGCAGAGUUGAAACGUUGAUCCCUAAUGAGGCAUGGAUUCCAAUAUCACUCCACACUGGAAAUCCUGUGCAUUAUUUUCUGCGUGGCUGCCCUACAUGUCCAUUUGACGCAGUGCUGCUUUUCAGAACAGCUGCCGUGAUCAUGGCUGGAACUGGGCAGAGCUACAGGUGCUCUGCAUGGGUGAGCAUGGAACAGGUGCCAGGUUCAAGCCUCAGAGUCUCUCCUUAGGACUAGGAAGACAUCCCAGGAUCCUGCUGCCAGUCAGUGUUUACAGCACUGGGCUGAAGGCACCAACGGCUCGACUCCACAUCGGGCGGUAUUUGGUGCUCCUUUGCCCAGAGCUGCAAGACUGAUGGAGAUUGAGGAAAACUGAGGACCAGCAGUCACAGAUGGCAUAUAUAAAGCUCUCACUCCCCUCUAUUUGAUCCUCACAUCAACAACCUUCUGAAGUACGCUUGGAGCCAGCAACUGGCCAGAAUUUACCCAUUGCAUUCCAUGACUCAGUAGGGACUUGAACCUGUGGGGUCAAGGACUUGCUAAUUUUCUGCGUUGAGGGAUUCAGGCUACGGAGUCCAUCACCUAGCCAAUAAGCUCUUGCUAAGCGGUUAUGAAGGGAAGUCAGAAUGAAGGCAGCGCCUCCUGCCCUUUCUCUGAAACAGCUUCAUGAUGUCAUCAUGUGGAAACGCCUGGUUUUGUGAUGAUGCAGUGAAGCCGUGGCAGCAAUGAAAUUCCAAAUGAGCUUGGACCCCACCUGGAAUGAACUCAUGUUUCUUAAUGGCACUCAAAACUGGAUCAAAGGAAAAAAGCCAUUCCAAAUAAGGAGUGAGCUAGCCACAUGCAAGAAAGAGUAAGCAAAAGGGUUUCUGAUUUGUGAACGCUACCAAGCUGUUUACUUUUCUACAAUAUCUUCCAUGGGUGUAUAUUUGGCUUGGUAAAGCCCACAUUCCUCCAUUCCAAAUAGUAAUCUUUGCACCAAUGAGCAAGUUCCACGUGAUGGGAAAAAUUCAGAGCAGCCAAUCUCUUGUUUAUGGACUUUGGCUGUUCAGCCAUCCUCAUUCUUGCAACAGCUUCUUUAUUUAAUCUGCUAUAUGACUACCAUUGUUCUAUAGAAGAUCUUCCAGUGAGGAAGCAGGUAGGUCUUCUCAGAGCUGGGGUCUGUUAAUUCUUGGCUUCAAACCAUUGAACCAAGAACCAAAGUUCAGGCUAUGAAAUGAUUCACAACUAAACACCGAGUUCCAUCACAUUUUAAGCACUUUCUACAGCAUAAAAAUCUCCUGCCUUCAAGCUUUUUGGCUAAGACUUUGAAUACUGAUAGCUUUCUAUGCAUUAUUAACUUAAUUGUACCAAACAUACAUUCUGGAAUUCUCAUUAAUAUGUUCUUGUUUGAAAAAAGGAGGAGAAAAAAGACCAUCUUUAUCCUUGAGCAGUGAACUGAAUGUUCAGCUUCAUAAAAAUGGACUACUUUUAAUGAGAGAAGCCAAUUCCUUCCAGAUCAUGAGGUAAAUUUCUAGCCAGCAGUUUCCUGCUCAAUUCAGGCACAAGACGAAAUUUGCUGAUGGCAAGAGUUGCAGGCUGCAGAGCUACUGUUUUGCAUUCAGGACGAUUCUCCGAUUGUGCCUUGUUUCUCCUGUGGUAUGUGGAUAUAGGGAAAUAUUUAAAGAAAAGAUCAAACCUACUUCAGGAUGUGAUGUUAAAAUAUUAAUCCCCCACCUCUCUCUCUCUCUCACACACACACACAGCACAGAAUUUUAACUAUCACUUUUAUAAUAGAUUUUAGGAGCGAAUUUUGUGAUUAUAACACAAUAAGCUGUGAUGUGCUAGACACCGAACACAACAUUGGAGGCCUUCCUUCAAGUCUCUCCUAUGAUGGAGGCUUGGGUGGUAGCGACAAGGAAGUGGGGGGGGCUUCUCUAUGGCAGCCCCCAAAUUACGGGAUGAUCUCCCCAGGGAGACCCUCCUGGUGCCAACUCUUUCAGCACCACCCUCCAAGCCAAGGCAUUUAGCAACUCUAAAUCAAGGGACAGGGUAAGUUCUGGCAGAUGUUGCAAAGACCUAGCUGUAUGAACUGAUUUAGCUGAUUAAAAAUAGGGUGGAUCUAUGAAUUGUAGCACAUUUUCCAGAGACUGUUAACCAUUGGGUGGUAUAGAAAUAAAAUGAUGAAUGUACGAGAGAACAAAAUAAGCAAAAGAAAAUGUUUGUGCAGCAGACUUGGACAGAAGAGCUGAUGUUUACUUUGGAUCAGCUUGUCGAUUCUGAUUAUAAUUUUUUGCCAUUCUCCGCUUUGCAGGCUAAAUAUAAAUGGCCGAGCUACGGCUGCAGGGCAAUGCUUGCAACUGGAACAUUUGUGAAGAUCUGGGUUUGGUCCUGCUGCUCUUCACGCUUCUAAGCCUGCUAUGCUAUUGGAAGAUCCGACUGAGGCUAAACAACGGCAUCAGCCUACAGUUCAUGUGCAUAAAUACCUAUUAUCGCUGAAUAAACAUGCUACACGGGAUCUCCACCAAGAACGGGACAAUGAACUGGGACACGCCGUCAGUGGAGUGCUUGAUAUUUAUUUUGAAAGGGCUCAGGGCUCUUGGGUUCAAAGUAGUUCAGCUGAAAUUGAUGUUUCAAGUUUGGCAUGUCUCUUUGAUAAGGACUUAAUUAAAUCAGCAGGUUGUUGGAGGUACAA
This is a long non-coding RNA of Varanus komodoensis (Komodo dragon), 16341 nucleotides long. RefSeq lists it as uncharacterized. The record is from RefSeq and is a predicted model, not a curated record. The transcript is spliced from 7 exons. NCBI's taxonomy places the organism in Eukaryota, Metazoa, Chordata, Lepidosauria, Squamata, Varanidae.